RNAcentral lists this ribosomal RNA (730 nucleotides) under uncultured bacterium. RNAcentral describes it as "bacterial SSU rRNA". It matches the Rfam family "Bacterial small subunit ribosomal RNA", at positions 769 to 1515 of the family's 1533-position model. The record is from RNAcentral.
CGAACAGGAUUAGAUACCCUGGUAGUCCACGCCGUAAACGAUGGAUACUAGCUGUUCGGAGCAAUCUGAGUGGCUAAGCGAAAGUGAUAAGUAUCCCACCUGGGGAGUACGCACGCAAGUGUGAAACUCAAAGGAAUUGACGGGGGCCCGCACAAGCGGAGGAGCAUGUGGUUUAAUUCGAUGAUACGCGAGGAACCUUACCAGGGCUUAAAUGGGAGACGACAGUUUGGGAAACCAGAUUUUCUUCGGACGUCUUUCAAGGUGCUGCAUGGUUGUCGUCAGCUCGUGCCGUGAGGUGUCAGGUUAAGUCCUAUAACGAGCGCAACCCCUAUUGUUAGUUGCCAGCGGGUCAUGCCGGGAACUCUAACAAGACUGCCGGUGCAAACCGUGAGGAAGGUGGGGAUGACGUCAAAUCAUCACGGCCCUUACGUCCUGGGCUACACACGUGCUACAAUGGACGGUACAGAGAGCAGCCACUGCGCAAGCAGGAGCGAAUCUUCAAAGCCGUUCUCAGUUCGGAUCGGAGUCUGCAACUCGACUCCGUGAAGCUGGAUUCGCUAGUAAUCGCAUAUCAGCCAUGAUGCGGUGAAUACGUUCCCGGGCCUUGUACACACCGCCCGUCAAGCCAUGGAAGCUGGGGGUACCUGAAGUCGGUGACCGCAAGGAGCUGCCUAGGGUAAAACUAGUAACUGGGGCUAAGUCGUAACAAGGUAGCCGUAAUCGAAUUCCC